AGUGGCGGACGGGUGAGUAACGCGUGGGCAACCCUGCCCUGUACCGGGGGAGUAACAGCCGGAAACGGCUGCUAAUACCGCAUAAGCGCACGAGAGCGCAUGCUUUUGUGUGAAAAACUCCGGUGGUACGGGAUGGGCCCGCGUCUGAUUAGCUUGUUGGCGGGGUAGAAGCCCACCAAGGCGACGAUCAGUAGCCGACCUGAGAGGGUGACCGGCCACAUUGGGACUGAGACACGGCCCAAACUCCUACGGGAGGCAGCAG
Molecule: ribosomal RNA, 262 nt
Filed under: uncultured bacterium
Lineage: Bacteria
Description: partial 16S ribosomal RNA
Rfam family: Bacterial small subunit ribosomal RNA
Source: RNAcentral